This 460-nucleotide ribosomal RNA is filed under the name uncultured bacterium. RNAcentral's name for it is "partial 16S ribosomal RNA". It matches the Rfam family "Bacterial small subunit ribosomal RNA", at positions 338 to 795 of the family's 1533-position model. The record is from RNAcentral.
CCUACGGGCGGCAGCAGUGAGGAAUAUUGGUCAAUGGGCGCGAGCCUGAUCCAGCCAAGUCGCGUGAGGGAUGACGGUCCUACGGAUUGUAAACCUCUUUUGCCGGGGAGCAAGCGUGCGUUCGUGAACGCGCGUCGAGAGUACCCGGAGAAAAAGCAUCGGCUAACUCCGUGCCAGCAGCCGCGGUAAUACGGAGGAUGCGAGCGUUAUCCGGAUUUAUUGGGUUUAAAGGGUGCGUAGGCGGGAUGCCAAGUCAGCGGUAAAAAUGCGGUGCUCAACGCCGUCGAGCCGUUGAAACUGGCGUUCUUGAGGGGGCGAGAAGUAUGCGGAAUGCGUGGUGUAGCGGUGAAAUGCAUAGAUAUCACGCAGAACUCCGAUUGCGAAGGCGACUAUCUGGCACAUAACUGACGCUGAGGAGCGAAAGCGUGGGUAGCAAACAGGAUUAGAUACCCCUGUAGUC